UACGUAGGGUGCGAGCGUUGUCCGGAAUUACUGGGCGUAAAGAGCUCGUAGGUGGUUUGUCGCGUUGUUCGUGAAAUCUCACGGCUUAACUGUGAGCGUGCGGGCGAUACGGGCAGACUUGAGUACUGCAGGGGAGACUGGAAUUCCUGGUGUAGCGGUGGAAUGCGCAGAUAUCAGGAGGAACACCGGUGGCGAAGGCGGGUCUCUGGGCAGUAACUGACGCUGAGGAGCGAAAGCGUGGGGAGCGAAC
RNAcentral lists this ribosomal RNA (250 nucleotides) under uncultured bacterium. RNAcentral describes it as "partial 16S ribosomal RNA". It matches the Rfam family "Bacterial small subunit ribosomal RNA", at positions 524 to 773 of the family's 1533-position model. The record is from RNAcentral. RNAcentral also lists the same sequence under 1 other name.